RNAcentral lists this ribosomal RNA (430 nucleotides) under Bacillota bacterium. Its description in RNAcentral is "Firmicutes bacterium partial 16S ribosomal RNA". It matches the Rfam family "Bacterial small subunit ribosomal RNA", at positions 355 to 776 of the family's 1533-position model. The record is from RNAcentral. Lineage: Bacteria; Bacillati; Bacillota.
UGGGGAAUAUUGGACAAUGGGCGCAAGCCUGAUCCAGCCAUGCCGCGUGUGUGAAGAAGGCCUUUUGGUUGUAAAGCACUUUAAGCGAGGAGGAGGCUACUUGGAUUAAUACUCUAGGAUAGUGGACGUUACUCGCAGAAUAAGCACCGGCUAACUCUGUGCCAGCAGCCGCGGUAAUACAGAGGGUGCGAGCGUUAAUCGGAUUUACUGGUCGUAAAGCGUGCGUAGGCGGCUUCUUAAGUCGGAUGUGAAAUCCCUGAGCUUAACUUAGGAAUUGCAUUCGAUACUGGGAAGCUAGAGUAUGGGAGAGGAUGGUAGAAUUCCAGGUGUAGCGGUGAAAUGCGUAGAGAUCUGGAGGAAUACCGAUGGCGAAGGCAGCCAUCUGGCCUAAUACUGACGCUGAGGUACGAAAGCAUGGGGAGCAAACAGG